Long non-coding RNA from Peromyscus californicus insignis, 692 nucleotides. RefSeq lists it as uncharacterized. Lineage: Eukaryota; Metazoa; Chordata; Mammalia; Rodentia; Cricetidae. The transcript has 3 exons. The record is from RefSeq and is a predicted model, not a curated record.
GGCAGCGAGACUCCCGCCGCCUCCGCCGCUGCUGCAGCCACCAGCAAGUCCAAUACCGGCUGAUCAGCGAUGAGGAUGGAGAGGGUAGCAACCCCAGCAGUCGCCCUACUGACGGACAAUUGCUGUCUGCUACAACUGAGUGUCCCCCAAAACAGGCUCUGAGAAAUUACCUCAUGGAAGGCUCUUUAUGACCUGUGAUGUUCCAGAUGGUGGCAACCCUUCCAGCUGCAUCUCUGAAUGAAGACACCCUGGAACAGUGCCCCCAGCCAUCCUAUGACAUAUGAUCAAAAGUAAACAUUCUGAGCCGGGCGGUGGUGGCGCACGCCUUUAAUCCCAGCACUCGGGAGGCAGAGCCAGGCGGAUCUCUGUGAGUUCGAGGCCAGCCUGGUCUCCAAAGCGAGUUCCAGGAAAGGCGCAAAGCUACACAGAGAAACCCUGUCUCGAAAAACCAAAAAAAAAAAAAAAAAAAAAAAGUAAACAUUCUGGUUGCUAACUGCUAACAAGGACUCCAUUGUCACAGUAGCACAAUGGUGACAUCUGACACGUGUCAUCUUUCAAUUCCAUAUCUCACCUUUGCUACCUUGUGUUUCUCUCCUUAUUUCUUACCCAAUAUUUAUACUUAAUAUUCUUUUCCAUCCUGUUCAAGCUCAGGAUUUCCCACAAAGUGUUCGAUAAAGAACCAGUUAUGUAAA